AUGAUGACGACAACCGUCAGUCGUCGUCCUGCAGGCGGCGCUAGCGCCUGUCCCUCCGCUUCCUGUCCCUCCGCUUCCUGUCCCUCCGCUUCUGUCCCUCCGCUUCUGUCCCUCCGCUUCUGUCCCUCCGCUUCUGUCCCUCCGCUUCUGUCCCUCCGCUUCCUGUCCCUCCGCUUCUGUCCCUCGCUUCUGUCCUCCGCUUCCUGUCCCUCCGCUUCCUGUCCCUCCGCUUCCUGUCCCUCCGCUUCUGUCCCUCCGCUUCCUGUCCCUCCGCUUCUGUCCCUCCGCUUCUGUCCCUCCGCUUCUGUCCCUCCGCUUCUGUCCCUCCGCUUCCUGUCCCUCCGCUUCCUGUCCCUCCGCUUCCUGUCCCUCCGCUUCCUGUCCCGCUUCUGUCCCUCCGCUUCUGUCCUCCGCUUCUGUCCCUCCGCUUCCUGUCCCUCCGCUUCUGUCCCUCCGCUUCUGUCCCUCCGCCUUCCUGUCCCUCCGCUUCUGUCCCUCCGCUUCUGUCCCUCCGCUUCCUGUCCCUCCGCUUCCUGUCCCUCCGCUUCUGUCCCUCCGCUUCCUGUCCCUCCGCUUCUGUCCCUCCGCCUUCUGUCCCUCCACUUCUGUCCCUCCGCUUCUGUCCUCCGCUUCCUGUCCCUCCGCUUCCUGUCCCUCCGCUUCUGUCCCUCCGCUUCUGUCCCUCGCUUCUGUCCUCCGCUUCUGUCCCUCCACUUCUGUCCCUCCACUUCUGUCCUCCGCUUCCUGUCCCUCCGCUUCCUGUCCCUCCGCUUCCUGUCCCUCCGCUUCCUGUCCCUCCGCUUCUGUCCCUCCGCUUCUGUCCCAUCGCUUCUGUCCUCCGCUUCCUGUCCCUCCGCUUCCUGUCCCUCCGCUUCCUGUCCCUCCGCUUCUGUCCCUCCACUUCUGUCCCUCCGCUUCCUGUCCCUCCGCUUCUGUCCCUCCGCUUCUGUCCCUCCGCUUCCUGUCCCUCCGCUUCCUGUCCCUCCGCUUCCUGUCCUCCGCUUCCUGUCCCUCCGCUUCCUGUCCCUCCGCUUCAACAAGUGGUUGUUUCUGAACCGAUUUGAGCUCAGUGAUUCUCUGGUGGGUUUUUCCUUAAACAACAUGAAUGAUAAUCAGACUCGACCGUUUGUUCUUCAGAGACGCGUGACCUUUGACCGCGACCCGGUCUGGUCUGUGCGAGGGCUGAAGACUGGUUCGGACCGAGCGAGACGCUGA
Long non-coding RNA from Scophthalmus maximus (turbot), 1215 nucleotides. NCBI's taxonomy places the organism in Eukaryota, Metazoa, Chordata, Actinopteri, Pleuronectiformes, Scophthalmidae. The record is from Ensembl.